AAAAAUGAAAUCAAAAUUGAUGUUUCAUUUACAAUGAAAAUUUGUAAACUUUUACCGUUUUUU
This 63-nucleotide transfer RNA is filed under the name Amblyomma triguttatum (ornate kangaroo tick). Its description in RNAcentral is "tRNA-Val". The record is from RNAcentral. Lineage: Eukaryota; Metazoa; Arthropoda; Arachnida; Ixodida; Ixodidae.